This 253-nucleotide ribosomal RNA is filed under the name uncultured bacterium. RNAcentral's name for it is "partial 16S ribosomal RNA". It matches the Rfam family "Bacterial small subunit ribosomal RNA", at positions 524 to 776 of the family's 1533-position model. The record is from RNAcentral.
UACGGGGGGGGCAAGCGUUGUUCGGAAUUACUGGGCGUAAAGGGCUCGUAGGUGGCCAACUAAGUCAGACGUGAAAUCCCUCGGCUUAACCGGGGAACUGCGUCUGAUACUGGAUGGCUUGAGUUUGGGAGAGGGACGCGGAAUUCCAGGUGUAGCGGUGAAAUGCGUAGAUAUGUGGAGGAAUACCGAUGGCGAAGGCAGCCUCCUGGGCCAACACUGACGCUCAUGCACGAAAGCGUGGGGAGCAAACAGG